Long non-coding RNA from Cyprinus carpio (common carp), 166 nucleotides. Lineage: Eukaryota; Metazoa; Chordata; Actinopteri; Cypriniformes; Cyprinidae. The record is from Ensembl.
UAAAUGUACAAAUUAAUUCAUAUGAAUUAGCAUCCAGUAGUUUUGAAUUGCUGUAAGAUUGUGUUGGGUGGCCUGUGGGCAAGCUAAAUAUUUCACCUUUACUUGGUUUCAGAUACCUGGCAUCUAUAUGUGGAUCAGAAAUUCGCCAGAAUCAGUCUUUCACAGG